This 5883-nucleotide long non-coding RNA is filed under the name Salmo salar (Atlantic salmon). RNAcentral's name for it is "lncRNA (ENSSSAG00000093299.1, ENSSSAG00000101646.1)". Lineage: Eukaryota; Metazoa; Chordata; Actinopteri; Salmoniformes; Salmonidae. The record is from RNAcentral.
ACCAUAAAGGCCAAUGUAUCAAAAUAAACAACAAAAUACUUGUAUUUUGAAAUGCAUUUCAUUAAAAUACACGUGUUUUGUAUUUUAAAAUACAAAAAUACAUUUGCAAGUAGCUGGCCCAAACACCAACAGCAUUCUCAGUAACAGUUACAAAAACAUUUUCCUUGCUAUGACUGUGAUAUGUUGUUGUUUAACACCUUAGUUGAGCAAGUCACUCUGGAUAAGAAUGUCUACUAAAUGACCAAAAUGUAGAUGUGAAAUGGAACAUGACAAAUUAACUGCAAAGAACACUGGGUAUUGUUUUGGGGCGGAGCUCACUAGAAUAAUACUCAUCCUACACAUUUAUAUUAGACCAUAGGGAGGUAAAGCUAGCUGGACGAGGUCCGUAGGGAGGUAAAGCUAGCUGGACGAGGUCCGUAGGGAGGUAAAGCUAGCUGGACGAGGUCUGUAGGGAGGUAAAGCUAGCUGGACGAGGUCCGUAAGUAGGUAAAGCUAGCUGGAUGAGGGCCAUAGGGAUGUAAAGCUAGCUGGAUGAGGGCCAUAGGGAGGAAAAGCUAGCUGGAUGAGGGCCGUAGGGAGGUAAAGCUAGCUGGAUGAGGGCCGUAGGGAGGUAAAGCUAGCUGGAUGAGGGCCAUAGGGAUGUAAAGCUAGCUGGAUGAGGGCCGUAGGGAGGUAAAGAUAGCUGGAUGAGGGCCGUAGGGAGGUAAAGCUAGCUGGAUGAGGGCCGUAGGGAGGUAAAGCUAGCUGGAUGAGGGCCAUAGGGAUGUAAAGCUAGCUGGAUGAGGGCCGUAGGGAGGUAAAGCUAGCUGGAUGAGGGCCGUAGGGAGGUAAAGAUAGCUAUAGCAGUGUGUAAGUUACAAGGAUGUUAUGAUGAUAACCAUCUCACAAGAUCCCUGUCAUGUGAACACAUUAUUCCCCUGACACUAAUAAAAUAUUACUUCCCCUUCUGCUGAGGCGAGGUUGUAGGGCCCAGAAUAACCCGCUACCUCAUCAGCACACACAUCCUAACCAUGUGAAAGGUCAGAAGAACACAGGCCAUUGCUCAAUAUGAAACAUCGCUGUUCUAGUGAGAUCCUUUUAACACAGCGAAACUGUACUGAACACUAAACUUAAAAGAGGUACAUUUUGUUUUCAGUGGCCUUUGAUAUACAGUUUAGCAAGGUUGUUUGGGGUCAAUGACAUUUCAAUGAAUGAAGUAUGUAUAAACUUUUGAUUGUUUUUAUUAAAUCAGGAAAUGGAAUUUAUCCAAAUCCUACCGUUUAGUAAAGCAUCUGUUCUGUUCGGACAUAAUCUGAAUUCUGUACUUUGUACUGUUCCUGCACAGGUCAGUGGUGAAGACUCUGUUCCUUCUUGAACAACAGGAGAUGGAAGGCACUGGUUACUCUGAUGUCCCACUACCUCAUCAGCACUCACAUCCUAACCAGCUGAAAAGUCAACCAUGAGGAGAGCUCUAUCAGGCCAUUGGUGAGAGACUGAGAGUCAACAUUCUCGUGGGAUCCUUCUACCACAGGGAGAAUGUGUGUAGUGGGCGUUCCAGUGACCUAUGAUAUUAUUUAGCAGGGUUGGGGACCAAUUCUGUUUCCUUAUAUAAAAGAAAAUACUUCCUGAAUUGACUUGAAUUGAAAUGGAAUCGACUCCCAAACCUUCUGUUUUAAAAUGGUGUGUUUUAGUGACCUUUCCACAUACUGUUUCAUCUGUUUCGUUCUGACAUGACUGCGUACUCAGUUUUGUGCGCUGUAGCCUACCUGCACAGAUCGGGACUGAAGAUGUACAGUCUCUCCGUCUUGGACAGCAGGGGGUGGAAGGCACUGCCGUCUGUACCGUUGAUCAUAUUACUCUGCUCAGACGUCCACAGGCUCAGUUUACUGAAACACAAUGAUUUAUUUCUAAAUGUAACUCAAUUAAAGGAAGAAUCUAAUACCUAUAAAAUACAAAAGCACUGUCUAGCCCAAUGUUUGAUUGUUUAGGUUUAUACGACUUAUCAAACAAUGUAUUAAAUCAAAUCAAAUGAAAUGUUAUUGGUCACGUACAUAUAUUUAGCAGAUGUUAUUGCGGGUGUAUCGAAAUGCUUGUGUUACUAGCUCUAACAGUGCAAUAAUAUCUAACAAUUCACAACAAUACACACAAAUCUAAAAGUAAAAUUAUUAAAGUGACUAGUGUUCCAUAAUUAAAGUGACUAGUGUUCCAUUAUUAAAGUGACUAGUGUUCCAUAAUUAAAGUGACUAGUGUUCCAUUAUUAAAGUGACUAGUGUUCCAUUAUUAAAGUGACUAGUAUUCCAUUAUUAAAGUGACUAGUGUUCCAUUAUUAAAGUGACUAGUGUUCCAUUAUUAAAGUGACUAGUGUUCCAUUAUUAAAGUGACUAGUGUUCCAUAAUUAAAGUGACUAGUGUUCCAUUAUUAAAGUGACUAGUAUUCCAUUAUUAAAGUGACUAGUGUUCCAUUAUUAAAGUGACUAGUGUUCCAUUAUUAAAGUGACUAGUGUUCCAUUAUUAAAGUGACUAGUGUUCCAUUAUUAAAGUAACCAGUAAUUCCAUGUCUAUAUAGGGCAGCAGCCUCUAAGGUGCAGGGUUGAGUAGCUGGGUGGUAAUUGGCUAGUGAUGGCUGUUUAACAGUCUGAUGGCCUUGAGAUACAAUGUUAAUACACAUUUGUGCUUUAUCUUGUUAGGUUCUAUAACAGAGUAAAAAAAAACUCAUGGACAACUAGGGAAAGCUUGAACCAAGUUUAUUCACCCAAUGGGUCAGACAGCUGACAGCUGAACAGACAAAGACAUGUUCCCACCAGCACAAGUAUAUAUACCCCACUUUAGGUGUGGUAUAUAUAAGCAGGAAGUUAACUGAUGUGAACUGUUCCUUCUCAAUGUGACCCGGACCUAACCUCGGGCCCCAUUCCUCACUACUUAUCAGUGACAUAAACCAUGUGAUUGCCUUUCCUUUACUCAGUACAUUCCCCUGGCUCAUAUCCAACCUGAAUUGACCUCACGAUAUUCAAACGUCCUACAGAUAUCCAUUAACUUCUGGUGUAGAAACCAGACUGUGGUCCUUCUCCUUUCCAUAGGAUACCUGCUGUCUAACAAGAACAUGUUCUGACAGAAUGUAAACGUUCUGCAUUCCCCUCUCUCUCUCUCUCCGUAGCAUUGAUCAAGGAUAUUUCACACUUCAAGUUCAGAAGUCUGAAGCCAUCAAUCUAAUCAAAGGGGAAGAAGGAAAAGAUGCUGCCCUGCGUCCAUACUGAUACUCUAGCAGGACGUGAGAAGAUAGCUAACGAGAAGUUCUCAUUGAGUCUUUUCUAACAGGGCCAAAUACCAGAAUGUGACAAUCACACAGCUCUGUGUUCUGGCUAGGCUAGGGGCCUCUGGGGAGUCUCUCUCUCUCUCUCUCUCUGGUGCUGCAGACUCCUGGUCCACAUUCCAAAUGGAACCCUAUUUCCUAUACAGAGCACUACUUUGAAACAGGGCCAACAGGGGCUCUGGUCAAAAGUAGGAGCACUACAUAGAGAAUAGUGUGCCAUUUGGGAUGCAAGCCCUGUCCUCUGUUACUCUCUCGCAGUAUGUAGAAGGUCUUAGGAAACCUGUGGACUGUUCCAUUCCAGUCUUUUACACAAGAGAGUUACUUAAUGAUGGGUUUCUCAUCAUCAAACACAAGUGUUCAUCUAGGAGACGAUGUGCAGGUUACAGUAUGUAAUGUAGCAGACGGAGGAUGUGCAGGUUACAGUAUGUAAUGUAGCAGACAUAGGAUGUGCAGGUACAGUAUGUAAUGUAGCAGACAGUUAGAUGAUGUGCAGGUACAGUAUGUAAUGUAGCAGACAGACAAUGUGCAGGUACAGUAUGUAAUGUAGCAGACAGACGAUGUGCAGGUACAGUAUGUAAUGUAGCAGACAGUUAGAGGAUGUGCAGGUACAGUAUGUAAUGUAGCAGACAGAGGAUGUGCAGGUACAGUAUGUAAUGUAGCAGACAGUUAGACGAUGUGCAGGUACAGUAUGUAAUGUAGCAGACAGUUAGACGAUGUGCAGGUUACAGUAUGUAAUGUAGCAGACAGUUAGACGAUGUGCAGGUACAGUAUGUAAUGUAGCAGACAGACGAUGUGAAGGUUACAGUAUGUAAUGUAGCAGACAGACGAUGUGCAGGUACAGUAUGUAAUGUAGCAGACAGUUAGAGGAUGUGCAGGUACAGUAUGUAUUGUAGCAGACAGUUAGAGGAUGUGCAGAAAACAGUAUGUAUGUACAGUAUGUAAUGUAGCAGACAGUAAGAUGAUGUGCAGGUACAGUAUUUAAUGUAGCAGACAGAGGAUGUGCAGGUCCAGUAUGUAAUGUAGCAGACAGUUAGACGAUGUGCAGGUACAGUAUGUAAUGUAGCAGACAGUUAGAGGAUGUGCAGGUACAGUAUGUAAUGUAGCAGACAGUUAGACGAUGUGCAGGUUACAGUAUGUAAUGUAGCAGACAGUUAGACGAUGUGCAGGUACAGUAUGUAAUGUAGCAGAGAGACGAUGUGCAGGUACAGUAUGUAAUGUAGCAGACAAUUAGAGGAUGUGCAGGUACAGUAUGUAAUGUAGCAGACAGUUAGAGGAUGUGCAGGUUACAGUAUGUAAUGUAGCAGACUGUUAGAGGAUGUGCAGGUACAGUAUGUAAUGUAGCAGACAGUUAGAGGAUGUGCAGGUUACAGUAUGUAAUGUAGCAGACAGACGAUGUGAAGGUUACAGUAUGUAAUGUAGCAGACAGACGAUGUGCAGGUACAGUAUGUAAUGUAGCAGACAGUUAGAGGAUGUGCAGGUACAGUAUGUAUUGUAGCAGACAGUUAGAGGAUGUGCAGAAAACAGUAUGUAUGUACAGUAUGUAAUGUAGCAGACAGUAAGAUGAUGUGCAGGUACAGUAUUUAAUGUAGCAGACAGAGGAUGUGCAGGUCCAGUAUGUAAUGUAGCAGACAGUUAGACGAUGUGCAGGUACAGUAUGUAAUGUAGCAGACAGAGGAUGUGCAGGUACAGUAUGUAAUGUAGCAGACAGAGGAUGUGCAGGUACAGUAUGUACUGUAGCAGACAGUUAGAGGAUGUGCAGGUUACAGUAUGUAAUGUAGCAGACAGAGGAUGUGCAGGUACAGUAUGUAAUGUAGCAGACAGUUAGACGAUGUGCAGGUACAGUAUGUAAUGUAGCAGACAGUUAGAGGAUGUGCAGGUUACAGUAUGUAAUGUAGCAGACAGUUAGAGGAUGUGCAGGUACAGUAUGUAAUGUAGCAGACAGACGAUGUGCAGGUACAGUAUGUAAUGUAGCAGACAGACGAUGUGCAGGCACAGUAUGUAAUGUAGCAGACAGAGGAUGUGCAGGUACAGUAUGUACUGUAGCAGACAGUUAGAGGAUGUGCAGGUACAGUAUGUAAUGUAGCAGACAGUUAGAGGAUGUGCAGGUACAGUAUGUAAUGUAGCAGACAGUUCGAGGAUGUGCAGGUACAGUAUGUAAUGUAGCAGACAGACGAUGUGCAGGUUACAGUAUGUAAUGUAGCAGACAGUUCGAGGAUGUGCAGGUACAGUAUGUAAUGUAGCAGACAGAGGAUGUGCAGGUACAGUAUGUAAUGUAGCAGACAGACGAUGUGCAGGUACAGUAUGUAAUGUAGCAUACAGACGAUGUGCAGGUUACAGUAUGUAAUGUAGCAGACAGUUAGACGAUGUGCAGGUACAGUAUGUAAUGUAGCAGACAGUUAGACGAUGUGCAGGUACAGUAUGUAAUGUAGCAGACAGUUAGAGGAUGUGCAGGUACAGUAUGUAAUGUAGCAGACAGUUAGACGAUGUGCAGGUACAGUAUGUAAUGUAGCAUACAGACGAUGUGCAGGUUACAGUAUGUAAUGUAGCAGACAGUUAGACGAUGUGCAGGUACAGUAUGUAAUGUAGCAGACAGUU